GGUCAAAAGCCCCCGUUUCCUUUAUUUCCCCCCUCCCCCCGGGGUUGGAGGGGCCGGAGUAGAGAGCGCCCAGUUCGGGAGGUGGAUGAAUGUGGGAGAAAAUGGAGACCAGGACGAUCGUGUAUGACUUGGACACAUUGGGGUGGAGGGGAGAGCUGAUGGAGCAAAUCCAAGCUCUGCUGGCUCCCCCCGAGAUGGGCGAGGCAGAGAAGCACAGUCGGAAGCCCAAGAAGGAGCCCCGGAGAAGAGGCAGGGCCACCAAUCACGACAGCUGCAAUAGCUGCAAGGAAGGUGGAGAUCUCCUGUGCUGUGACCACUGCCUGACUGACUUCCAUCUCCAGUGUUGUAUCCCUCCACUGAGUGAAUAGAUGUUGCCUCCUGGGGAGUGGAUGUGUCACCGGCGUACUGUUCGCCAACAGAAACGAGAGCAGAAAAAGGAGCUGGGUCAUGUCAAUGGACUGGUGGACAAAUCUGGCAAACGGACUACAUCCCCCAGCAGUGACACUGACUUGUUGGACAGAUCAGCUAGCAAAACUGAACUCAAGGCCAUUGCCCAUGCCCGGAUCCUAGAAAGGAGAGCCAGCCGGCCUGGCACCCCCACAUCCAAUGCCAGCACAGAGACCCCCACCUCUGAGCAGAAUGACGUCGAUGAGGACAUCAUUGACGUGGAUGAGAAGCCAGUUGCAUCAGAGCCGGACUAUGUGCAGCCCCAGCUGAGGUGGCCCUUUGAUCUGCUGAUUGCUGCUGCCAUGGAGCAGAACCCCACCCAAUUUCAGUUGCCCAAUGAACUGACUUGUACAACUGCACUACCAAGUUCUAGCAAGAGGAGAAGAAAGAAGGAGACCACAGGGAAAAACGUUAAGAAGACACAGCAUGAGUUAGAUCACAAUGGUCUUGUUCCCUUACCGGUCAAAGUCUGCUUCACAUGUAACAGGAGUUGCCACGUGGCCCCACUUAUCCAGUGUGACUAUUGCCCACUCCUGUUUCACAUGGACUGCCUUGAGCCACCACUCACUGCCAUGCCCCUGGGCAGAUGGAUGGUGUCCAAAUCACAUUGAACAUGUGGUGCUGAACCAGAAGAAUAUGACACUGAGCAAUCGGUGCCAGGUGUUUGAUAGUUUCCAGGACACCAUUUCACAGCAUGUCUCAAAGUGGACUUCCUGAACCGAAUCCACAAGAAGCACCCUCCUAACCGCCAUGUGCUCCAGUCAGUCAAAAGAAGAAUCUUGAAGGUUCCUGAUGCCCCCUCUAAUUGCACCCGUGGCCAUUCGGGAUGGGGAGCUGAUCUGCAAUGGGAUCCCUGAGGAAUCACAGGCACACCUUUUGAAUUCUGAGCACUUAUCCACCCAGGCAUAGCAACAAGAGUGGCUCUGUAAUGUUGUUAUGCUCCAGUGCAGCACAUUGAAACAUUUAUCUGCUAAGCAGAUACCUUCGCAUUGGGACUCUGAACAGACAGAGAAGGCUGACAUUAAGCCUGUUAUUGUGACUGACAGCUCAAUCACCACUUCCCUGCAAACAGCUGACAAGGCACCUACACCUUCCCACUACCCCUUGUCCUGUCCUUCAGGGAUUAGCACCUAGAAUUCCCUGAGCUGCUUUCCACCUCACCAGCCCCCAGCCAUCGAGGACAUCAGCAGCAGUUCUUGUGUAGAAAAAUCCAAGAGAGCUCCUUGUGGGACUGCCAAUGGGCCAGUGAACACAGAGGUGAAAGCCAAUGGCCCACACCUAUACAGCAGCCCCACUGAUUCCACGGACCCCUGGCGACUUCCAGGCGCCAAUACCCCCCUACCAGGCCUUUCACACCGGCAAGGCUGGCCCUGGCCCCUCACACCACCAGCAGCUGGGGGCCUUCAGAACCACACCAUUGGCAUCAUUGUGAAGAUGGAGAAUGCCACUGGUCCCAGCUCUUGCCCCCAAAGGGCAAAGGCCUGUCCCAAGCCUGACCCCUUCCAUUCCCAGCUCUUGUGCCAGCAUUGAGAACACCAGCACUUUGCAAAGAAAGACUGUCCAAUCACAGAUAGGACCUCCGUUGACAGAUUCAAGGCCUCUGGGUUCAUCCCCAAAUGGCACCCGAGUGCUCACUCCCCCCCAAGCAGCAGGAGAUGGAAUCUUGGCCACAGGAGCCAACCAACAAUUCUGCUCACCAGCGCCAUCAUCAGAUGGCAAGGUCAGCCCUGGCAAGUUAUCCAUAGGAAGCACUUUAACCAUACCCUCUUUCCCAGCCAACUCUACUGCCAUGGUGGACCUCACCAACUCACUUUGAGCAUUUAUGGAUGUCAAUGGAGAAAUUGAGAUAAAUAUGCUGGAUGAGAAGCUGAUCAAGUUUCUGGCCUUGAAGAGAAUACAUCAGCUUUUCCCCUCCCGGGUCCAAACUUCACUGGGUAGUGUUGGGACACAUCCACCGGCUUCCAGAGGGCACCACACAGAAGUGCAAAGGAAGCAGGUACAGGCCCGAGCUGUGUUCUACCCCCUCUUAGGGUUGGGAGGAGCUGUGAACAUGUGCUAUAGAACCCUCUACAUCGGGACAGGAGCUGACAUGGAUGUGUGCCUUACAAACUAUGGUCACUGUAACUACGUGUCGGGGAAACAUGCCUGCAUAUUCUUUGAUGAGAAUACCAAACAUUAUGAGCUGUUAAACUACAGUGAGCAUGGAACAACGGUGGACAAUGUCUGUAUUCAUGUGACUUCUCUGAGAAGACCCCACCAACUGCCCCAAGCAGUAUUGUUGCCAAAGUGCAGAGUGUCAUCAGGCAUUGCCGGCACCAGAAACAAGAUGAAGAGCCAAGUGAGGAGGCAGUCAUGAUGAGUUCCCAGGCCUAGGGGUCCCAGCGGAGACACUGCAAUUGCAAAGCCAGCAGCUCAAGCUUGGUUGGGGGCAGUGGGGCCGCCUGGGAGGGUACGGCCUUACUACACCAUGGCAGCUACAUCAAGCUGGGCUGCCUGCAGUUUGUCUUCAGCAUCACUGAGUUUGUGACCAAACAGCCCAAAGGCGAUGUCAGUCUGCUGCAGAAUGGGGUACAGGGUGAGAAGCUGGCUCUCAAGCCCCACCAGGGCCUUGUGCUGUGCUCCAACUCUGUUCCCUAGGGCUGGUGGCUACCCUGCUGCCUACCUAGACACUCUCCCCAAGACUCCUGCAAUGUAAAAAUGUACACAAACCAAGUCUGGGUGUUUUCUAUACCAGAAACCCUUCAACUACAAUCUUUGCAAGAAAUGAAGAAAA
Castor canadensis (American beaver) is the source of this 3220-nucleotide non-coding RNA. NCBI's taxonomy places the organism in Eukaryota, Metazoa, Chordata, Mammalia, Rodentia, Castoridae. The record is from RefSeq and is a predicted model, not a curated record.